Camelina sativa (false flax) is the source of this 152-nucleotide non-coding RNA. The record is from RefSeq and is a predicted model, not a curated record. Lineage: Eukaryota; Viridiplantae; Streptophyta; Magnoliopsida; Brassicales; Brassicaceae.
UGAGACUUGUAAAGCUGGUUAUGUCGGAGUAACUACAAACUCCAUGGUGGCUUAAAGGACUCAAGGCUCAACUCACCCGAGGUUGAAGCUGAUUACGUAAUGACAUCAAAGAAGUUUCAAGAGUGUGGAAAAUUUACAAGUUUAAAUACAAG